Molecule: non-coding RNA, 1204 nt
Organism: Biomphalaria pfeifferi
Lineage: Eukaryota; Metazoa; Mollusca; Gastropoda; Planorbidae
Source: the annotation of a GenBank genome assembly
UCACUUGACAGAGAGGUAUGCGUAUACAUUGCAUCUUGAAAUGUAAGGAACCACAUGAGUAUCACUUGACAGAGAGGUAUGCGUAUACAUUGCAUCUUGAAAUGUAAGGAACUACAUGAGUAUCACUUGACAGAGAGGUAUGCGUGCCACAGUUGGAAAAGCACCUAUCUAAAUCACUUGAUAUGUUGCCCUAUGACUCUUUGUUAAGGAACAAUAUUUAUUUUAAAUCUUUUUUUUUUGUUUAGUUGUGCAUAAUUUAACUUUUAGCCAAGCGUAUACGUUAUAGUGUUAAGAAAAAAAUAUAAUAAAUUAGUAUAAUAGGUGAUGGCUUAUAAGAGCAUACACACUACAAUUAAGGUGCAGUAAAAUAUGUUCAUUGACAAAACACUGGACAUUAAAAGUUAAAAAAUCGAGAUAGAUACAAAUAGAAAACAUACAAAGACGUUAACUUUUGCCUAAUGUUGCUUAUUUCUUACAAAUCUUAUAUCAACUCUGUCUGUCUGUAGGGUGAAAAAAAAAGUUUGUACACGUUAUUUCUCCCACACACAACAUCGGAUUAAGCAGACAUUUUGCACAAUUAUUUCUUUUACCUGAUAACACAAGAAUCAAUUUAAAAAAUUAACCAAUACGUUCAUUAACUAUUGGUAAUUAAUUAUUGUGUUUGGUAUCUUGAACAAAGGAAAGAAAUCGUACUUGACUGGUGUGGAGGUAUAAGUAGAAUUAGUCCCUUUAAGGUCUUGAGCAAUGUAUGUAAAUUUUUUAUGCGUUUAAAAAAAACGAUCAUUUUAACAUUCAGCAAGAUACCCCCCCCCCCUUCUUCCCGUUACCCAUUCCCAGCUGGCCCAGACACGUGAUAGGACAGCGCAUAGAGAAAGCUAAAAACUAAACAAAUAAUUGAUAAAAAAUAUUUCUAAGUGCACAGAUUUAUGAUGUCUAGGUCAAUAGUGCAAAUAAUGACAUGCCAAUUACAUUUAAUAUAAAGCUUUGUUUCGUUUUGUUUUUUUUUUAAAGUAUUUUUUUUUAAUGUUUUUCUUGUAUCCAUAUUUUAACUUUUUUCUUCUUGCUAUUGUGAUAAUGGUUUCUCCAUUCCAAAAAUGUGAUUCUACACCAAGAAGAGUUCUACGUUUGUUUCAACUUUUCAAGACUCGGAAACAAGAGAGUGAUCUAUAUUCUGAAUAAAGUUUUGGCCAUGUAUUCAGAGAAU